UACGUAGGGUGCAAGCGUUAAUCGGAAUUACUGGGCGUAAAGCGUGCGCAGGCGGCUUUGCAAGACAGAUGUGAAAUCCCCGGGCUCAACCUGGGAACUGCAUUUGUGACUGCAUGGCUAGAGUACGGUAGAGGGGGAUGGAAUUCCGCGUGUAGCAGUGAAAUGCGUAGAGAUGUGGAGGAAUACCGAUGGCGAAGGCAGCCCCCUGGGCCAAUACUGACGCUCAUGCACGAAAGCGUGGGGAGCAAACAGG
Molecule: ribosomal RNA, 253 nt
Filed under: uncultured bacterium
Lineage: Bacteria
Description: partial 16S ribosomal RNA
Rfam family: Bacterial small subunit ribosomal RNA
Source: RNAcentral